GUCUCCGCAUAUUUCUCUUUCUACAAGUGGAGGGUCCACUGUCACCUAUGCAUUUUUGAUGGAGAAUUUUCAUUUGCUAUUCUUUAACUUUGCUUAGAAUUUCAGAAAACAAGUAGGGGAGAAGUGGAUUCUGCUCAUGGGUACUAGAUUUAUCUACAGUAUCAAAACUCAGUUUGAUUUUGUUAAUAAUACAGAUCUUGUAAACGGUUUUGUGUAUGAUAAUAUGUAUAGGGUCGUUAGUUUUUUCUGGGGUUUUGUCUGCAACUACACUUUUCAUCUGUUUGGUUCGUUGUUCAGACACAUCUUCAGAUUUCAGAAGGGAAAUUUUGUGAACAAGUUUGAAUCCAAUUCUAAUGAGGUUUAUCAUCAACAAGAAGAUGAUCAAUUUGGUUCAAGUUGUUCUCAGGACUCAGAGAUGGAAAAAAGCGAUGUUGAAGGGGAGAAUUCUGUUGUUAUGGAGGGUGCCUUGUUGGCUAGCACUAAUAAAUGUGAGUUCUUGUCUGGGAAAGGCAUACGUGGAUUCGUGGAAGAACCAAUAACCUUGAGCUUCACUGUCCAUGAACUGUUCCUUGAUUCAAAUAAUGAUGCAAUUGUUAAUACUCCAACUGCUGAUAAUGGACGCUCCACUCACGAGGAUUUUCAGGAAGUUGAAUUACAUUCAGAGGCAGCGGAUAAAACAGAGAAAGCAGGGGCAUUUUUCAAAAAUUUCGCAACUGAUGAGGCUUUAGAGGAGAAACAGGAACAAGAAACAUUGAUGGGGGAGAAGAAUUCUGAGGAAGAAGAGUUAAGUUCCAAUGAUGGAGUCACUGUCGACAAAGGUUUUGGAAAUCAAGACUUGGAUGCGGAGAAAACAGAGAACUCUGUCAAAAGUUGGGUCGUUGAAAAGGCUUUAGAGAAGCCAGAACAAGAAACAUCCACCGAGGAAAACAGUUAUAAUAAGCAAGAGAUGGAUGCUUUAGACCAGAGCUCUGAACUUUCUGUUAAUGGAACUGUCAGGGAAGUAUUUGAAUGCGAAAGUUUUGUGUUCAUUGAUGAGAAGAAGAUGGAACAUAUUAGAGAAGCAGAAGCAGUUUCCAUCGAAGGAGUUGGGCCUGAAAUUUGUGUGUUGGUGGAUGAGGAGAGGGCAGAACAUAAUACAGAAAUGGAAGCUAUUUCAAUGAGAGACCAAUCCAGUGAUUCUGAUGAUGAAUAUAUAGAACUACAACCCCAGAAACAGAAUUCAAAUUUAUUGGAUGAGGAAAUAUUGCCUAAAGAGCAUUUAAGCAACCUUGAUGACAAAGAAAAAGAGCAAGGGUUAAUCCACGAAAAGGCAGAACCGAAAUUUGAAGAAUCUAGCGUCCAAGGGCUAAAGCCCUUAGAUUCACAUGUUCAAAGCGAUACAGAUUACAUGUUUGAGCAACAUGACGUAAUAGAACAGCUAAAAAUGGAGCUGAAACUAGCAAGAACUGGGGGUCUUCCAACUAUUCUCGAAGAAUCAGAAUCUGAAGAAUUGGAGACUCAGAAGACGGUGCAAGAGCUAAGGCCAAUGAAGGUUGGAGACCAGAAGCUUGAGCGCAAAGAUCUCUUGGAGGGGAUUCGAAAGAUUUACAAGAGCUACGUGGACAAAAUGCGAAAAUUGGACGUCUUGAACUUCCAGACCAUGCAUGCGCUUGGCUUACUGCAGAUGAAAGACACAGUUCAGUUUCAGACAGCUCGGAAAUCUUCGGUUCCAGCAAUUAUCUCUCUUCUUUCCCAGAACUUGUGGUCAUGCAAAGGGACUGCCGUAGUUAAUCCGAUGAAAAAAAUCUUUGCAGAUAUGCAUAGUGAUUUUGACACCAUAUAUGUUGGACAGCUUUGCCUUUCCUGGGAAAUACUCCACUGGCAAUACUGGAAAGCCCAAGAACUGCAAAAGUACGACUAUCAAGGAUCCCAUCAACAUCAAUAUAAUCAAGUGGCGGGUGAGUUUCAGCUAUUUCAAGUCCUGAUACAAAGAUUUCUUGAGAAUGAGCAGUUUCAAGGUCCCAGGGUCCAGAAUUAUAUCCAGAGCAGAUGUGUCCUUCGAGGUCUUCUUCAAGUUCCUCAAGUUAGAGAUGAUAGUUUCAAGGGCAAGGGGAAAAAAGGAGAUGAAAAAGAAGAUGCAAUCACAAGCCAAAUGCUAAUAGAAACCAUUGAACAAUCAAUGCGGGAUUUCUGGGAAUUCCUUCGUGCUGAUAAAGACGAAAGCAGUCUGAUCUUACAGGGUCAUCAACAAACCCAUAUUAAUCUCCAAGACCUUGUAGAUUUAGAGCUGUUGACAGAUAUUCGAACCGAUUUUCAAAAGAAGGAUAAAAAGCUUAAAGACAUAUUGAGAAGUGGAAAUUGCAUAGUGAAGAGGUUCAAGAGGCAACAAGAAGAUGGAGUGCAUCAUAUUCACACGUUGUUCAUGGCUCAGGUGGAACUGAAACUGGUUUCUAGAGUUCUAAACAUGUCCAAACUAACAAGAGAUCAAUUGAUAUGGUGUCAUGAAAAAUUAGACAAAAUUAACUUCUGUAAUAGAAAAGUUUAUGUAGAACCCUCAUUUUUGCUCUUCCCAUGCUGACAUGGUGAGUAGUCAGUAGAUAAAUGCUUUUCAUAAAGGUCUAUAUUAUAUAUCAACAUAUACAUGUAAAGAUAGUGUCACGUUACACAUGUUUCCCAAAGCCAAAGUUAAUGGAAACAAAAUUUUCUCUCUUUUUCAAGCAAAA
This 2702-nucleotide unclassified non-coding RNA is filed under the name Hevea brasiliensis (rubber tree). The record is from RNAcentral. Lineage: Eukaryota; Viridiplantae; Streptophyta; Magnoliopsida; Malpighiales; Euphorbiaceae.